This 195-nucleotide microRNA precursor is filed under the name Oryza sativa Indica Group (long-grained rice). RNAcentral describes it as "MIR812 microRNA precursor family". It matches the Rfam family "MIR812 microRNA precursor family". Lineage: Eukaryota; Viridiplantae; Streptophyta; Magnoliopsida; Poales; Poaceae. The record is from Rfam by way of RNAcentral.
AAAAAGAAAAACCCUGAGUUUUCGUGUCCAACUUUGACUGUCCGUCUUAUAUGAAAUUUUUUUAUAAUUCGUAUUUUCAUUGUUGUUAGAUGAUAAAACAUGAUUAAUAUUUUAUGCGUGACUUGUCUUUUUAAUUUUUUCCAUAAUUUUUUUAAAUAAGACGGACGGUCAAACGUUAGGCAUGGAACCAGGGUU